GAUGAACGCUGGCGGCGUGCCUAAUACAUGCAAGUCGAGCGAACGGACGAGAAGCUUGCUUCUCUGAUGUUAGCGGCGGACGGGUGAGUAACACGUGGAUAACCUACCUAUAAGACUGGGAUAACUUCGGGAAACCGGAGCUAAUACCGGAUAAUAUUUUGAACCGCAUGGUUCAAAAGUGAAAGACGGUCUUGCUGUCACUUAUAGAUGGAUCCGCGCUGCAUUAGCUAGUUGGUAAGGUAACGGCUUACCAAGGCAACGAUGCAUAGCCGACCUGAGAGGGUGGUCGGCCACACUGGAACUGAGACACGGUCCAGACUCCUACGGGAGGCAGCAGUAGGGAAUCUUCCGCAAUGGGCGAAAGCCUGACGGAGCAACGCCGCGUGAGUGAUGAAGGUCCUCGGAUCGUAAAACUCUGUUAUUAGGGAAGAACAUAUGUGUAAGUAACUGUGCACAUCUUGACGGUACCUAAUCAGAAAGCCACGGCUAACUACGUG
This 497-nucleotide ribosomal RNA is filed under the name uncultured bacterium. RNAcentral describes it as "partial 16S ribosomal RNA". It matches the Rfam family "Bacterial small subunit ribosomal RNA", at positions 28 to 507 of the family's 1533-position model. The record is from RNAcentral.